This 1013-nucleotide long non-coding RNA is filed under the name Anser cygnoides (Swan goose). Its description in RNAcentral is "lncRNA (ENSACDG00005003854.1)". Lineage: Eukaryota; Metazoa; Chordata; Aves; Anseriformes; Anatidae. The record is from RNAcentral.
GUUUAUUUUUAACCCUGAUCUGCCUUGCAACACAAGUCUGCAAGUCAUUUGUCAGAACAAUGGCUGGCCAGUAACUGCUACUUCAGUGGGCCUGUGACUUCCAGAGCUUGAAACAUAAAGCAGUUGGGUCUCCAGGUGCUUCAAAGAUUUCAAAAGUCAUCUGUGUGGUGCUGGGAAAUACAACACUAGAUGUAUGGGAUACAUAUGCUAUUUGGAAGAGGGCAGAGGCAAACCCUAUCCAAACAAGGAAGGGGAGGAAGAUGCAUUGCAAAAUCGUGGAUGGGUCACGUGAGUCAAAAAUACAUGCAUAGAUAUACUUUUGUCUGGAAGGCCCAGCUCAGAGGUGUGAUGCCUGCAUUUUAGUGCUUUGCACAGUGAGUUGGUGAGUGUACAUACAGUAAGUUGAAUGCAUUUUGGCUGCAUCUGACUUUUCACCUGUAUGCACUUGCUGUUUGUCUAGGACUUUGAAUGUUCAGGCUUCCAGAUGUUCAGAAAUCCCCUGCUAAUAUGCUGUAAUAAGAGACUCCAUUGGAGGGUGCUAAACUAGUUGAUAUUCCCUAGGAAUUCAGUCCCUUAUAAAAUACAAACUUUAUGUCACUUUUUAUAAAGACGAAGUCCAAGCUCCCUAAGUCAUAUGGAAGUUCUCUGCUGAGUUAAAAAAGGAGUUGGGCUACACCCAUGAAAAAUCCUUUCUCCCGUGAAGAUGUGGCAGUUUCAUUUGCCUGUUCGUCUUAUAGGUUCAACUGAUCAGCUGCUGUAAUUUUAGCACACAUUACUUGCUACCUAUGGUCCAUGCCAAAGACCAAAUAUCUUUGUAUGGUGGUGUUCCUUCACACUCUACUUGUUAUGGUUAAACAUUGCUGAGAGAGCCUGUACUCAGUCCUUUUUCAUCUGCUUGAUUUUUUUCAGUAUCAUGAGGAGGUAUAUUAUUGUGUAUAUCUUCUGACACACUAGAAUUAGACCCAUUCCUACUUCACUAUGGUGAUAAUAAAUGUCACCAUUACUUGUCUACA